UUUAGUGGACAUUUUUCCACAGCGCCGUCUAUUGGGCUGAAUCAUGUUUAUCGGCAUGCGUCUAUGUCUGAACACUGCCUGAUGUGUCCAAGGUGGACUUUAUUACUAUACUAUACAUGUAACCAUAUGUGUUUGCUGAGGUAGAGUGACCAUAAAUGGUGCAAGGGGCUAUCCUCCAUGGUGAGUCAGAGAUGCAUUAUUCCCCUUGGAAUCCCUCACAUGUAAUCUCCUUGGUUGAGAGCCAUCCAAUCCGGACUCCUGGCUGAGAGAGGGAGAAGGAAAAACCUCUGAAGGUUACAUCAGGGCAUUCGGGUCACACACCGCUCAUCAUCCACACUUUGUAACAAAUUCUAAUAGAAGAAGUGACUCAGACAAGGCUGCAGAUCGGUGACACAGACGGAGCAGGCGGGAGGGAUCCACCAUGGGCCUCUCGGGAUGUAUUCUCCAGGAUCCCUCCGGUACCAGCGUAUGGCCCAGCCAUGAUGUUCCUUACGCUCUCUCUUCCAUGCCCAGUACUCGGGGUCUUGUGCCAUGAUCUAGAAUUAAACACAAUAUAAAUUGUUAUAAUAAACACAGACUUUCAUUCCUA
This is a long non-coding RNA of Hyla sarda, 589 nucleotides long. RefSeq lists it as uncharacterized. The record is from RefSeq and is a predicted model, not a curated record. The transcript is spliced from 3 exons. NCBI's taxonomy places the organism in Eukaryota, Metazoa, Chordata, Amphibia, Anura, Hylidae.